GCCAGACUCCUACGGGAGGCAGCAGUGGGGAAUAUUGCACAAUGGGGGAAACCCUGAUGCAGCGACGCCGCGUGAGUGAAGAAGUAUUUCGGUAUGUAAAGCUCUAUCAGCAGGAACGAGACAAGACGGUACCUGACUAAGAAGCCCCGGCUAACUACGUGCCAGCAGCCGCGGUAAUACGUAGGGGGCAAGCGUUAUCCGGAAUCACUGGGUGUAAAGGGAGCGUAGACGGCUGUGCAAGCCUGAAGUGAAAGGCGGGGGCCCAACCCCUGGACUGCUUUGGGAACUGUACGGCUGGAGUGCAGGAGAGGUAAGUGGAAUUCCUAGUGUAGCGGUGAAAUGCGUAGAUAUUAGGAGGAACACCAGUGGCGAAGGCGGCUUACUGGACUGUAACUGACGUUGAGGCUCGAAAGCGUGGGGAGCAAACAGGAUUAGAUACCCCCGUAUC
RNAcentral lists this ribosomal RNA (448 nucleotides) under uncultured bacterium. Its description in RNAcentral is "bacterial SSU rRNA". It matches the Rfam family "Bacterial small subunit ribosomal RNA", at positions 330 to 794 of the family's 1533-position model. The record is from RNAcentral.